AAUAUUGGUCAAUGGGCGAGAGCCUGAACCAGCCAAAUCGCGUGAAGGAAGACUGCCCUACGGGUUGUAAACUUCUUUUAUUGGGGAAUAAAAAAGGGCACGAGUUCCCUAUUGUGUGUACCCUAUGACUAAGCAUCGGCUAACUCCGUGCCAUCCGCCGCGGUAAUACGGAGGAUGCGAGCGUUACCCGGAUUUAUUGGGGUUAAAGGGUGCGCAGGCGGGAACUUAAGACAGCGGUGAAAUCUCGACGCUUAACGUCGAAACUGCCGUUGAAACUGGGUUUCUUGAGUAUAGAUGAAGUAGGCGGAAUUCGUUGUGUAGCGGUGACAUGCAUAGAUAUAACGAGGAACUCCGAUUGCGUAGGCAGCUUACUAAACUAUAACUGACGCUCAUGCACGGAAGCGUGGGGAUCAAACAGG
This 419-nucleotide ribosomal RNA is filed under the name uncultured bacterium. RNAcentral's name for it is "partial 16S ribosomal RNA". It matches the Rfam family "Bacterial small subunit ribosomal RNA", at positions 360 to 776 of the family's 1533-position model. The record is from RNAcentral.